RNAcentral lists this unclassified non-coding RNA (1049 nucleotides) under Amphibalanus amphitrite. Its description in RNAcentral is "magnesium-dependent phosphatase 1-like, transcript variant X2". Lineage: Eukaryota; Metazoa; Arthropoda; Thecostraca; Balanomorpha; Balanidae. The record is from RNAcentral.
GCCAGGAAUGUGAAUACACAGAUGUUACGUAUAUACUGCCUUGGGUGUUACCAAGGUGUUACUGGAGAAAUACCGGAAAAUAUCACUUCCUGAAUCACAGAAACCGGAGUCGAAUGGCCUCCGAGCAUCCGGGACCUGCCGCCUCUGCCCGGCCCAAGCUGCUCGUCUUUGACCUUGACCUGACCCUCUGGCCAUCCAUCGCCGGCACCCACCAUCGGCCGCCAUUUCACGAGCGGAACGGAACGGUUUUCGACUCCUCCGGAAGAGAGCUCCACCCGUUUCCCGAGUCGUCAGCAGUGUUAGAGGAGUGUCAUGCCCAGGGGUAUCUCAUGGCAGUCGCAUCACGAUCGGGUGACAAGUCCAGCUGCAAGCAGCUGAUGGCACUGUUCGGUUGGAGGAAGUACUUCAAAUACGUGGAGAUAUAUCCGGGAUGCAAGAAGAGACAUUUCUCGCGGAUUCACAAGGUGUCGAAGAUACCGUUGUCAGAUAUGCUGUUCUUCGAUGAUGAUGGCGUCAAUAUUAGGGACCUGACUCAGUUGGGGGUGAUGUCAAUACUAGUGUCGGGCUCGACUGGAAUCAACAAAUACUUGGUGCACGAAGGGCUUGCAAAAUUUGUUAGAGAAAGAUCGUGUGGAAAAGUCGUGAGUGAUAGAUGCAAUUAACCUGAAACCGGUUACCGAUAGUCUCGGAUUUGACGAUUUUGACUUUGUGAAAAUUUCCAUGGCCUUUUAUACUGUAUGCCUGUUACGUUCGCUCUUGGCUUCGCGGAUUUAAACUGUUUCAUGCUGUUAUUUAUCAUGACAUGACAUGACAUGUGUGACUGACUUAUUGCUCAUUGAAUUGUUGAGAACUUCUGAGAAGUUCAGCCAAGUGUGCCUUACGGGUCACACCUUGGUAGUACAAGUUGUGCUCAUACCUACCGCAUCUCAUUCUCCUCUUGCUGCUAGGAUUACAACAUAGCUAUAUUUACACUAGUCAAUAUUCAUCCUUGUGCGUGACUUUCUAUUUACCUAUAUUUGAUAAUACAUAACUGAAAAAAGUAUGGAAUG